Long non-coding RNA from Syngnathus typhle (broad-nosed pipefish), 544 nucleotides. RefSeq lists it as uncharacterized. NCBI's taxonomy places the organism in Eukaryota, Metazoa, Chordata, Actinopteri, Syngnathiformes, Syngnathidae. The transcript is spliced from 3 exons. The record is from RefSeq and is a predicted model, not a curated record.
ACACCACUGAGUGGCACACACUGCAGUGAGAUCAAGUCAAACGCUGUGCCUUUAAUUUUCUCAAAGGCUGGAUCUGGAAUGAAACAUUUUUCCCCUUGAAGGGGAUAACGGCAAGCUAUCAUGAAGGAUACACAUCAACAAAACCUGAUGGACAGAAAUCUUCACGUCAAGGCAACACAGAUGGGAGGAAGACUGACGGCUUCCGCAUGCUUGUAACCCUCCCCACUUGCCAAAUGAUGGACAGCCCAGAAGAAUAGAAGAUGGUAAGGGUGAGAGCAGCAGGGCCAGCGUGGAGGAGAGGGCAGCACAUAUGGAAAGCUCUUGUGUUUGUAAUGGUUUGUCUAGUGCAUGCUGAUGGGCGGACCGGUAGGCGUUUGAAGGAGUUUACAUCUAAGCACUUACUCGUUGCAGUUCUUACGUUAUGGCCGCAGCUAUUUGGUAAAUACCCUAGCGAUAUGUUUGUCAUGCUUUAAAGACUCAUACAGACGAUUAUUCUUUUAUUUCAUGUCUCUUAGGACUGUAUUAAUCUUUCUUUAUUUCUCUU